RNAcentral lists this long non-coding RNA (1688 nucleotides) under Podarcis lilfordi (Lilford's wall lizard). The record is from RNAcentral. Lineage: Eukaryota; Metazoa; Chordata; Lepidosauria; Squamata; Lacertidae.
UAAUAGACAAGAUGGAUUGUUUUAAGAAGUGGCAGAGAGAUAUCUCUAAGUUUGUCUGGCAGGGCAAGAGGCCCAGGAUAAAAUUUAAAAUAUUGACUGAUGCUAAAGAAAGAGGGGGAUUUGCCCUGCCAGACUUUAAACUUUAUUAUGAAUCAGCAGCUUUCUGCUGGCUGAAGGAUUGGUUACUUCUGGAAAAUACUGAUGUUUUGGACUUAGAAGGUUUUAAUAAUGUGUUUGGGUGGCAUGCAUAUUUGUGGUAUGACAAGGUUAAAGCUCACAAAAUAUUUAAAAACCAUAUUGUCAGGAAAGCAUUAUUCAAUGUCUGGAUAAGAUAUAAAGACUUAUUGGAGAAUAAAACCCCAAGGUGGCUAUCACCAAUGGAGGCAAAGGCCCUGAAAAAGUCCAAUAUGGAGGCCAAGUGGCCAAAAUAUUGGGAGAUCUUGGAACAAGAAGGAGAUAAAUACAAAUUGCAGAGUUUUGAAAAACUAAAAGAUAGAGUGCGUGACUGGUUGCAUUAUUACCAAAUAAGAGAGGUCUAUAAUUUGGAUAGAAAAGUUGGCUUCCAGGUGGAAAAAUCAAAGUUGGAAACAGAACUGCUAGAUCCCAAAACUAAAACACUUUCAAGAAUGUAUAACUUGCUGCUAAAAUGGAAUACUCAGGAUGAAACGGUAAAAUCUGCUAUGAUUAAAUGGGCACAGGAUGUUGGACACAACAUUAUGUUUGCUGACUGGGAACGGUUAUGGACCACAGGUACGAAGUUUACAGCAUGUAAUGCUUUAAAAGAGAAUAUAAUGAAAAUGGUGUACAGGUGCUACAUGACCCCAGUCAAGCUUGCAAAAAUCUACCAUUUGCCCGAUAAUAAAUGUUGGAAAUGUAAUGAAACUGAAGGUACAUUCUUUCACCUUUGGUGGACGUGCCCAAAGAUUAAGGCCUUCUGGGAAAGGAUAUAUAAUGAGUUGAAAAAGGUAUUUAAGUAUACCUUCUUAAAGAAACCAGAGGCCUUUCUCCUGGGCAUUGUUGGCCAAUUGGUGCCAAAGAAAGAUAGAACUUUCUUUAUGUAUGCAACAGCAGCAGCAAGGAUACUCAUCGCAAAGUAUUGGAAGACACAAGACUUACCCACUCUGGAAGAAUGGCAGAUGAAGGUAAUCGAUUAUAUGGAAUUGGCGGAAAUGACUGGCAGAAUCCGUGACCAGGGAGAAGAGUCGGUGGAAGAAGAUUGGAAGAAAUUUAAAGACUAUCUACAGAAAUACUAUAAAAUUAAUGAAUGUUAAAUUGAGGUCUGAUUGAAAAUAACUGGUAUUGGCAAAAGCCUUGCGUUUAAGAGCAUGGAAUAUUUGAUGGAUAAGGUUGUAAAAAUAUCUAUAUAUAAAUAGAUUAAGUUUCUUGAGUUAAGAUAAAGGAAGGAGGGUAAGGAUUUGCUGAAAGGAGUUUUUAAAUGGAAAUACAAGCGGGGAGAUGCGGGGAAGUCAAAGAACUAGGGAAAGAUAAGAAGGUCAAAUGAAAGUAUAAAUUUUUAAACUUUUCUGUUUCUUUUUCUUUUUCUCUUUUUUCUUUCUUUGUUAUGGAUAUUGUUAUCUUUGUUUUCUUUUUGUCACUGCUAUUGUUGUUUUUUGUCUGUGGAAUUUUUGUAUUUUUGUAUCUUUUGGAAUUUUUGUAAAACCAAUAAAUAUUAUAUUAAAAAAAAAAAA